UGCUGGCGGUGACGCUAUGGCU
RNAcentral lists this microRNA (22 nucleotides) under Petromyzon marinus (sea lamprey). RNAcentral's name for it is "pma-miR-4558". Lineage: Eukaryota; Metazoa; Chordata; Hyperoartia; Petromyzontiformes; Petromyzontidae. The record is from miRBase by way of RNAcentral.